Molecule: ribosomal RNA, 432 nt
Filed under: uncultured bacterium
Lineage: Bacteria
Description: partial 16S ribosomal RNA
Rfam family: Bacterial small subunit ribosomal RNA
Source: RNAcentral
AACGAACGCUGGCGGCAUGCCUAACACAUGCAAGUCGAACGAGACCUUCGGGUCUAGUGGCGCACGGGUGCGUAACACGUGGGAAUCUGCCCUUUGCUUCGGAAUAACAGUUAGAAAUGACUGCUAAUACCGGAUGAUGUCGAAAGACCAAAGAUUUAUCGGCAAAGGAUGAGCCCGCGUAGGAUUAGGUAGUUGGUGGGGUAAAGGCCUACCAAGCCGACGAUCCUUAGCUGGUCUGAGAGGAUGAUCAGCCACACUGGGACUGAGACACGGCCCAGACUCCGACGGGAGGCAGCAGUGGGGAAUAUUGGACAAUGAGCGAAAGCCUGAUCCACCAAUGCCGCGUGAGUGAUGAAGGCAUUAGGGUUGUAAAGCUCUUUUACCAGGGAUGAUAAUGACAGGACCUGGAGAAUAAGCUCCGGCUAACUCCGU